UGGGAGCGUUGAAUGGCGGGCUGGCCUAGUAGGCCCCGGUUAGGGUAUGUGUAGGGGGCUCCAAGCUCCCAGUUAGGCCCUUCCCGUGUACCACGUGGUCAGGAGGAUGCCCAGACCAAGGAGCUCCAUUUUGUGUGCUUUUAUAUAUUUGUCUCUGCCUGGGUGUGUCCGAGUGAGUGACUGUCAACUUGACACAGCCUAGAAUCACGUGAAGAAAACAAGCCUCAACUGAGUAAUAAUUGACUUUAUCAGGAUACAGAAAUGAAGGGACAAGAUUGCCGACUCCAAGGAGCUCACUGUCUGCGAGGAGGAAAGGUUUCAGUCUCAGUCUGGUGCUGGUCUGCCAAAGACCGGGGCUCCACUAUCCUAUCUGGCAGCCAUCAGUCAGGUGCAGCUUUUGGAUUAAUGCACACUGAGAGAGCUUUGGGAUAAAAUGCAAUUUAGAUGUUACUAGCUUAAC
Long non-coding RNA from Myodes glareolus (Bank vole), 460 nucleotides. RefSeq lists it as uncharacterized. The record is from RefSeq and is a predicted model, not a curated record. Lineage: Eukaryota; Metazoa; Chordata; Mammalia; Rodentia; Cricetidae.